This 240-nucleotide unclassified non-coding RNA is filed under the name soil metagenome. RNAcentral's name for it is "partial contains 5.8S ribosomal RNA, internal transcribed spacer 2, and large subunit ribosomal RNA". The record is from RNAcentral.
AACCUUAUGGACCUGCGGGCGUAUACCUGCGGAGGGAUCAUUAACGAAUUCAUCGGAGUUGUGCUGGUUCUUACAAGUGCACGCUCCUUACAAUUCCAUUCACACCCCUUGUGCACUCUAAGAGACGUAUCUCCCCCGUUUACGUGCCUUCGUUGGCUUGGGAUUUCGUCUGUUUAACACACACUCUUAUUGUAAUAGAAUGUAAUCUGGCUGAAAGGCCUUAAACUUAAAUAUAACUUU